AAAAGCCGCAGUAUCCUGACUGUGCUAAGGUAGCAUAAUCAUUUGUUAUCUAAAUGAUAACUAGUAUGAAUGGUCUGACGAGAAAAUAACUUUCUAAAAAGAAAAAAAAUUAAAUUAAUUUAAAAGUAAAAAAGCUUUUAAGCUUUAGAAAGACGAGAAGACCCUAGAACCUGUUCUAUUUCCUAUAGUUUGUUGGGGUGACAUUAUUCAAAACAAAUAACUAUUAAAACUUAUUAAUUGACUCUAUCCAUCUUUAUUAAAAAAAAAAAAGGUACUCUAGGGAUAACAGCAUAAUCUUCUUCUAGAGCCCUAAUCGACAAGAAAGAUUUUGACCUCGAUGUUGAAUU
RNAcentral lists this ribosomal RNA (347 nucleotides) under Armadillo officinalis (oak-woodland pillbug). RNAcentral describes it as "partial large subunit ribosomal RNA". It matches the Rfam family "Bacterial large subunit ribosomal RNA", at positions 1926 to 2538 of the family's 2925-position model. The record is from RNAcentral. Lineage: Eukaryota; Metazoa; Arthropoda; Malacostraca; Isopoda; Armadillidae.